UAUAUUAUUAUGCAAAAAAAAAAAUACAAAUUGUGAAUUUUUAAAAUAAUAGGUAUAUAUAACCUGUGAAUUAGGAUAACUUGAUAUAUCCAAUAUCAAAAUUGAAACUUGAUAUAAUCAAGGAUAACAAUAGCAAAAUUAACGCUCAAACCAGGUCAAACGUACAAAAUUGUCUAAUUGAAAUUCAUCAUUGAAUUAAUACAUUUAUGUAAAAAUAAAAAAAAUCAAAGGAUCAAUUGAGAAUUUACUUGAAAUGAAUGCAAAAAAAAUAUGUGUUGAGACAGACCAACAAACCUCUGAUGUAGAUGACAAGGAUCCAAAAGUCGUCAUCAACUCACUGGACUACGACUCAUUAGCAAAAAUCAUCAUGUUGUUACCAAUACCAGAAAGGAUAGACAUGGAAAAAGUUUGUGUCAAAUGGAAAGAGGCAUGUC
Molecule: long non-coding RNA, 434 nt
Organism: Aphidius gifuensis
Lineage: Eukaryota; Metazoa; Arthropoda; Insecta; Hymenoptera; Braconidae
Exons: 4
Source: RefSeq, a predicted model, not a curated record